GGGCUCGCUUCAGCAGCACAUAUACUAAAGUUGGAAUGAUACAGAGAAGAUUAGCAUGGCCCCUGAACAAGGAUGACACGCAAAUUCGUAAAGCAUUCCAUAUUUUU
RNAcentral lists this small nuclear RNA (107 nucleotides) under Monodon monoceros (narwhal). Lineage: Eukaryota; Metazoa; Chordata; Mammalia; Artiodactyla; Monodontidae. RNAcentral also lists the same sequence under 1 other name. The record is from RNAcentral.